GCCCAGGUGGUGGAAUGGUAUACACAGGGGACUUAAAAUCCCCCGAGGUUUCCUCAUGCGGGUUCGACUCCCGCCUUGGGCA
This 82-nucleotide transfer RNA is filed under the name bacterium. RNAcentral describes it as "tRNA-Leu". It matches the Rfam family "tRNA". From Rfam's summary of the family: Transfer RNA (tRNA) molecules are approximately 80 nucleotides in length. Their secondary structure includes four short double-helical elements and three loops (D, anti-codon, and T loops). Further hydrogen bonds mediate the characteristic L-shaped molecular structure. tRNAs have two regions of fundamental functional importance: the anti-codon, which is responsible for specific mRNA codon recognition, and the 3' end, to which the tRNAs corresponding amino acid is attached (by aminoacyl-tRNA synthetases). tRNAs cope with the degeneracy of the genetic code in two manners: having more than one tRNA (with a specific anti-codon) for a particular amino acid; and 'wobble' base-pairing, i.e. permitting non-standard base-pairing at the 3rd anti-codon position. The record is from RNAcentral.